This 253-nucleotide ribosomal RNA is filed under the name uncultured bacterium. RNAcentral describes it as "partial 16S ribosomal RNA". It matches the Rfam family "Bacterial small subunit ribosomal RNA", at positions 524 to 776 of the family's 1533-position model. The record is from RNAcentral.
UACGUAGGGUGCGAGCGUUGUCCGGAAUUAUUGGGCGUAAAGAGCUCGUAGGCGGUUUGUCACGUCGGAUGUGAAACCCCGGGGCUUAACUCCGGGCCUGCAGUCGAUACGGGCAGACUAGAGUGCGGUAGGGGAGACUGGAAUUCCUGGUGUAGCGGUGAAAUGCGCAGAUAUCGGGAAGAACACCCGUGGCGAAGGCGGCUCUCUGGGACGGUACUGACGCUGAGACGCGAAAGCGUGGGGAGCGAACAGG